This 469-nucleotide ribosomal RNA is filed under the name uncultured bacterium. Its description in RNAcentral is "partial 16S ribosomal RNA". It matches the Rfam family "Bacterial small subunit ribosomal RNA", at positions 28 to 508 of the family's 1533-position model. The record is from RNAcentral.
GACGAACGCUGGCGGCGUGCUUAACACAUGCAAGUCGAACGGAAAGGCCCUGCUUUUGUGGGGUGCUCGAGUGGCGAACGGGUGAGUAACACGUGAGUAACCUGCCCUUGACUUUGGGAUAACUUCAGGAAACUGGGGCUAAUACCGGAUAGGAGCUCCUGCUGCAUGGUGGGGGUUGGAAAGUUUCGGCGGUUGGGGAUGGACUCGCGGCUUAUCAGCUUGUUGGUGGGGUAGUGGCUUACCAAGGCUUUGACGGGUAGCCGGCCUGAGAGGGUGACCGGCCACAUUGGGACUGAGAUACGGCCCAGACUCCUACGGGAGGCAGCAGUGGGGAAUAUUGCACAAUGGGCGGAAGCCUGAUGCAGCAACGCCGCGUGCGGGAUGACGGCCUUCGGGUUGGAAACCGCUUUCGCCUGUGACGAAGCGUGAGUGACGGUAAUGGGUAAAGAAGCGCCGGCUAACUACGUGC